CGUUGAAACGUUCUUGCUAAGUUGGUUUCUAUUGAAAUACUAUCGGAGGAUUGUAUUUGAAAAAAAUUUUAUUCACUUUGAUCGUUAUAGGUGGAUUAUCCUACUAGUUGCAAGAAUGGCGUGAAUUACUGCGGAUAGAAGAACAAAAAAUAUCCGGAUAUACGCUCCGUUUGAUCGCAACGCACAUGCUGAUGUUAAUUAUUUGAAAUCAUUCCUUAUCGUCGAUAUGGCUACUACUACGAUAACCAUAAACUUCAAAGAUAUGAUCGUACCAAAGAAAAACUAAAUCGGUUAUCGGUUCACCCUAUAUAUCUGUUGUUACUCACGGAAACAUGAUGAAAAGUUGAUAAAAUUAAAGCGACCGGAAAAGGUAAUAAAAAUGUCACCAUGAAGAAUGCUAAUAAGCAGGAAGCAGAAAAGAAAUAAUAAACUGCGUAAGCACCGAGUAUGUCGCCGAUCACUUGAUAAAGUUUAGACACUGCAAAACCAAGGACACCGUCG
This is a long non-coding RNA of Vespa mandarinia (Asian giant hornet), 501 nucleotides long. NCBI's taxonomy places the organism in Eukaryota, Metazoa, Arthropoda, Insecta, Hymenoptera, Vespidae. The record is from RefSeq and is a predicted model, not a curated record.